GACGAACGCUGGCGGCGUGCUUAACACAUGCAAGUCGAACGGAAAGGCCCUGCUUUUGUGGGGUGCUCGAGUGGCGAACGGGUGAGUAACACGUGAGUAACCUGCCCUUGACUUUGGGAUAACUUCAGGAAACUGGGGCUAAUACCGGAUAGGAGCUCCUGCUGCAUGGUGGGGGUUGGAAAGUUUCGGCGGUUGGGGAUGGACUCGCGGCUUAUCAGCUUGUUGGUGGGGUAGUGGCUUACCAAGGCUUUGACGGGUAGCCGGCCUGAGAGGGUGACCGGCCAAAUGGGGCAUGAGAUACGGCCCAAACCCCUACGGGGGGAAGCGGGGGGGAAUUUUGCAAAAGGGGCGGAAGCGUGAUGCAGCAACGCCGGGGGGGGGAAGACGGCCUUGGGGUUGUAAACCGCUUUCGCCUGGGACGAAGCGUGAGUGAGGGUAAUGGGUAAAGAAGCACCGGCUAACUACGG
Molecule: ribosomal RNA, 467 nt
Filed under: uncultured bacterium
Lineage: Bacteria
Description: partial 16S ribosomal RNA
Rfam family: Bacterial small subunit ribosomal RNA
Source: RNAcentral